GAUGAACGCUGGCGGCGUGCUUAACACAUGCCAGUCGAACGAUGAAGCCCAGCUUGCUGGGUGGAUUAGUGGCGAACGGGUGAGUAACACGUGAGUAACCUGCCCUUAACUCUGGGAUAAGCCUGGUAAACUGGGUCUAAUACCGGAUAGGAGCGUCCACCGCAUGGUGGGUGUUGGAAAGAUUUAUCGGUUUUGGAUGGACUCGCGGCCUAUCAGCUUGUUGGUGAGGUAAUGGCUCACCAAGGCGAAGACGGGUAGCCGGCCUGAGAGGGUGACCGGCCACACUGGGACUGAGACACGGCCCAGACUCCUACGGGAGGCAGCAGUGGGGAAUAUUGCACAAUGGGCGCAAGCCUGAUGCAGCGACGCCGCGUGAGGGAUGACGGCCUUCGGGUUGUAAACCUCUUUCAGUAGGGAAGAAGCGAAAGUGACGGUACCUGCAGAAGAAGCACCGGCUAACUACGUG
This 466-nucleotide ribosomal RNA is filed under the name uncultured bacterium. RNAcentral's name for it is "partial 16S ribosomal RNA". It matches the Rfam family "Bacterial small subunit ribosomal RNA", at positions 28 to 507 of the family's 1533-position model. The record is from RNAcentral.